Molecule: ribosomal RNA, 549 nt
Filed under: uncultured Glomus
Lineage: Eukaryota; Fungi; Glomeromycota; Glomeromycetes; Glomerales; Glomeraceae
Description: SSU rRNA
Rfam family: Eukaryotic small subunit ribosomal RNA
Source: RNAcentral
UUGGAGGGCAAGUCUGGUGCCAGCAGCCGCGGUAAUUCCAGCUCCAAUAGCGUAUAUUAAAGUUGUUGCAGUUAAAAAGCUCGUAGUUGAAUUUCGGGGUUGGUAGGUUGGUCAUGCCUCUGGUAUGCACUGGUCUCACUGAUUCCUCCUUCCUGAUGAACCGUAAUGCCAUUAAUUUGGUGUUGCGGGGAAUUUGGACUGUUACUUUGAAAAAAUUAGAGUGUUUAAAGCAAGCUAACGCUUGAAUACAUUAGCAUGGAAUAAUGAAAUAGGACGUUCGAUCCUAUUUUGUUGGUUUCUAGGAUUGACGUAAUGAUUAAUAGGGAUAGUUGGGGGCAUUAGUAUUCAAUUGUCAGAGGUGAAAUUCUUGGAUUUAUUGGAGACUAACUACUGCGAAAGCAUUUGCCAAGGAUGUUUUCAUUAAUCAAGAACGAAAGUUAGGGGAUCGAAGACGAUCAGAUACCGUCGUAGUCUUAACCAUAAACUAUGCCGACUAGGGAUCGGAUGAUGUUAAUUUUUUAAUGACUCAUUCGGCGCCUUACGGGAAAC